UUUAAAGAAAAGGUGUAGAGU
This 21-nucleotide non-coding RNA is filed under the name Caenorhabditis elegans. Lineage: Eukaryota; Metazoa; Nematoda; Chromadorea; Rhabditida; Rhabditidae. The record is from RNAcentral.